CCUACGGGUGGCAGCAGUCGAGAAUCAUUCACAAUGGGGGAAACCCUGAUGCUGCGACGCCGCGUGGGGGAAUGAAGGUCUUCGGAUUGUAAACCCCUGUCAUGUGGGAGCAAAUUAAAAAGAUAGUACCACAAGAGGAAGAGACGGCUAACGCUGUGCCAGCAGCCGCGGUAAUACAGAGGUCUCAAGCGUUGUUCGGAAUCACUGGGCGUAAGGCGUGCGUAGGCUGUUUCGUAAGUCGUGUGUGAAAGGCGCGGGCUCAACCCGCGGACGGCACAUGAUACUGCGAGACUAGAGUAAUGGAGGGGGAACCGGAAUUCUCGGUGUAGCAGUGAAAUGCGUAGAUAUCGAGAGGAACACUCGUGGCGAAGGCGGGUUCCUGGACAUUAACUGACGCUGAGGCACGAAGGCCAGGGGAGCGAAAGGGAUUAGAUACCCCGGUAGUC
This 446-nucleotide ribosomal RNA is filed under the name uncultured bacterium. Its description in RNAcentral is "partial 16S ribosomal RNA". It matches the Rfam family "Bacterial small subunit ribosomal RNA", at positions 338 to 795 of the family's 1533-position model. The record is from RNAcentral.